Molecule: long non-coding RNA, 1290 nt
Filed under: Physcomitrium patens
Lineage: Eukaryota; Viridiplantae; Streptophyta; Bryopsida; Funariales; Funariaceae
Description: long non-coding RNA (PPAT_LNC010313)
Source: RNAcentral
GAUAAUCCAAUCUUUCAAUUACACUUAUGAUGCUUGACAAAAAAAAUAAUUCAUGUAUCUUAAAUCACUUAAUUCCAUUCCGUCCCUUACAAGUGCACUUGCAUGGCUGUACUCCUCUGAGGUAUGACAGACUACGAACGAUGUGCUAUAUAACAAUGACAAGAAAAAUUCUUAAUAGAUUCUAAGCGUGAACUAUCUAGUGUUGCAAGCCGCGUUAGCGAUCUUAGUGACAUAGGAAAUGCAUUUCUCAAGCGGAUAUGUCUAUUCAUUUCCAUAGAUCUUGAUAUGCAUAGCUUCAACACAUCUCCAAUUUCUAACCUCUGUCGGAGAGUUAACAGAAUAUAACCCAGCGCCUACUCGGUGUGCGAGAAUGGCAUCCUUCCUAAGCACUUGCUGAAAUAAAUACGGACCCCUCGAAAGCCCUGAGCAGCUCUCGGACAAUCAAGCCGAAUGAAUUGUAAGCAGCUUCGAUCGACGUGAUGAAAGAUCACCUUCGACAUAUGCCAAUUCGAUAACCGCGUCCAACCGAGGCUUCCGCGUGGUAAGGGUGACACCACGAUCAUACACAUAAAGAUUUGCGUCCAGCUUUAUUGGACUGUGCUAUCAAAGCGGAAUCUGACUCCGACUCGAUGCCACUGAUACCCGAUUCAGGGUUGGAAGGUGCCUGAUACAGGUUGACCUUGUUUGCAUUUGCUGCAUCAAUCUUAGGUUCAGCAGUAGUAGAUUCGGGAUCGUUCUUACUCAGCCUCCACAAGAAGAACUUGUGUCUAAAGAUACAGAGUAUGCCUAAUAAGAAGGCAGCACCGAACGGCACAAUGAUGAUCAAGGCCCGCAUUUCAAACUUCGACUUCGAAGUCGACAUGACGAAUCACCACCAGCUAUGACUCAGCCCCUCAGGCAAUAUGCAGUCAACUGCAAAUCCGUCCUCAGCAACUCUAGCUCUACAGCUGCAACUCAACUGCCAACACUCAAUGUCGUUAAACCCUCCCCGCACGACGAAGCCCUCCGAUGAUCAGCACUGGUGGAACACCUUGGCACAACACCGACAUCACAAAUUAGCUUUGGCGACAAACAAACCCCCAUCCUAACUCAUCCACAACUCUGAUCAAUCAACAAAUCCAGAAACUAAAACCAGUUCUCAGAUAAAAGCAACCAACAAGUUCAUAUUUGACAAUCCCAUGUCAUAUCAGACACUAUGAGACAAAAUUUCUUGACAACCGUGGAGGUGAGCAGUUGCAGCCCACUCCGAAACCCCGGGACCACGGGAUACCCACGUUGGGCUCGGCGGUG